AAUAAGUACAGUUUUGUAUGUUCAACAUUUGACCAUUCAUCUUAUUUGAAAAUUUUAUAUAAUUAGUUUUUUUAGAUGAUAAAGCAUGAAUAGUAAUUUAUAUGUGACUAUUUUUAAAAAAUAUAUUUAUAAUUUUUUUUAAAUAAGACGGACGGUCAAACGUUGGACACAGAUACCGACGGCUGCACUUAUU
Molecule: microRNA precursor, 193 nt
Organism: Oryza sativa Indica Group (long-grained rice)
Lineage: Eukaryota; Viridiplantae; Streptophyta; Magnoliopsida; Poales; Poaceae
Rfam family: MIR812 microRNA precursor family
Source: Rfam